Molecule: ribosomal RNA, 161 nt
Filed under: uncultured bacterium
Lineage: Bacteria
Description: partial 16S ribosomal RNA
Rfam family: Bacterial small subunit ribosomal RNA
Source: RNAcentral
UGGGGAAUUUUGCGCAAUGGGGGAAACCCUGACGCAGCAACGCCGCGUGGGUGAUGAAGGCCUUCGGGUCGUAAAGCUCUGUCUGGAGGGAAGAAAUGAUUGGGAGCUAAUACCUCUUGAUCUUGACGGUACCUCUGAAGGAAGCACCGGCUAACUCCGUG